This 757-nucleotide ribosomal RNA is filed under the name uncultured bacterium. RNAcentral's name for it is "bacterial SSU rRNA". It matches the Rfam family "Bacterial small subunit ribosomal RNA", at positions 28 to 772 of the family's 1533-position model. The record is from RNAcentral.
GAUGAACGCUAGCUACCGGCUUAACACAUGCAAGUCGAGGGGAAACGAUAUUGGAAGCUUGCUUCCGAUAGGCGUCGACCGGCGCACGGGUGAGUAACGCGUAUCCAACCUGCCCAUCACUUGGGAAUAACCUUGCGAAAGUAAGACUAAUGCCCAAUGACAUUUAUAGAAGGCAUCCGAAAUGAAUUAAAGAUUUAUCGGUGAUGGAUGGGGAUGCGUCUGAUUAGCUUGUUGGCGGGGUAACGGCCCACCAAGGCGACGAUCAGUAGGGGUUCUGAGAGGAAGGUCCCCCACAUUGGAACUGAGACACGGUCCAAACUCCUACGGGAGGCAGCAGUGAGGAAUAUUGGUCAAUGGGCGAGAGCCUGAACCAGCCAAGUAGCGUGCAGGAAGACGGCCCUAUGGGUUGUAAACUGCUUUUAUAGGGGAAUAAAGUGAGCCACGUGUGGUUUUUUGCAUGUACCCUAUGAAUAAGGACCGGCUAAUUCCGUGCCAGCAGCCGCGGUAAUACGGAAGGUCCGGGCGUUAUCCGGAUUUAUUGGGUUUAAAGGGAGCGUAGGCCGGAGAUUAAGCGUGUUGUGAAAUGUAGACGCUCAACGUCUGCACUGCAGCGCGAACUGGUUUCCUUGAGUACGCAUAAAGUGGGCGGAAUUCGUGGUGUAGCGGUGAAAUGCUUAGAUAUCACGAAGAACUCCGAUUGCGAAGGCAGCUCACUGGGGCGCAACUGACGCUGAAGCUCGAAGGCGCGGGUAUCGAA